RNAcentral lists this long non-coding RNA (286 nucleotides) under Mytilus galloprovincialis (Mediterranean mussel). Lineage: Eukaryota; Metazoa; Mollusca; Bivalvia; Mytilida; Mytilidae. The record is from RNAcentral.
CGCCAGCAUACAAUAUAAUUGCAGUUGAAGGCAAAUCCUUCAGAAGUUCUUUGUACUUUAUUCUAAAAACGAACAUUUUUUAAUAGGGAAUAUAAGUAAGGGGGAAAGUAACCAAUUUUUUGUUCUUUUAUAAUAUUUACAAAAAAAAAAACGGUGCGGGAAAUGGACAUGAUUACAUUUCCGGAUGCGGAAAGCGGGAAUAUAAAAAAAAUAAAAAAAUUCUGUUUUGAAAAAAAUAGGUGCGGGCGGGUCCGUCGAACAAGGAAUCAAAUUGGUGUGGCCUUAC